This 236-nucleotide unclassified non-coding RNA is filed under the name plant metagenome. RNAcentral's name for it is "partial contains small subunit ribosomal RNA and internal transcribed spacer 1". The stretch from base 1 to 46 matches the Rfam family "Eukaryotic small subunit ribosomal RNA", at positions 1786 to 1831 of the family's 1831-position model. The record is from RNAcentral.
AAGUCGUAACAAGGUUUCCGUAGGUGAACCUGCGGAAGGAUCAUUACCGAGAGAGGGGCUUCGCGCUCCCGGGGUUCCGGCCCCCAACUCUUCACCCAUUGCCUACCUACCUUUGUUGCUUUGGCGGACCACGAGGGUUCGCCCCGCGCUGGCUUUCGGGCCGGUGAGCGUCCGUCAGAGGCCAAUUAUAUUCUGUUUAAUCAACGAUGUCCGAGUUUAAAAACACAAUAGUAAAA